RNAcentral lists this small RNA (107 nucleotides) under Marmota monax (woodchuck). Lineage: Eukaryota; Metazoa; Chordata; Mammalia; Rodentia; Sciuridae. The record is from RNAcentral.
GUCAGGCAUGGUGGCCAAUGCCUGUAAUCCCAGCAAUAUGGGAGCCUGAGGCAGGAGGAUUGUAAGUUUGAGGACAGCGUCAGCAACUUAGCAUGACCCUGUCUCAA